RNAcentral lists this ribosomal RNA (550 nucleotides) under uncultured bacterium. RNAcentral describes it as "partial 16S ribosomal RNA". It matches the Rfam family "Bacterial small subunit ribosomal RNA", at positions 355 to 895 of the family's 1533-position model. The record is from RNAcentral.
UGGGGAAUAUUGCACAAUGGGCGCAAGCCUGAUGCAGCCAUGCCGCGUGUGUGAAGAAGGCCUUCGGGUUGUAAAGCACUUUCAGCGAGGAGGAAGGUGGUGAGCUUAAUACGCUCAUCAAUUGACGUUACUCGCAGAAGAAGCACCGGCUAACUCCGUGCCAGCAGCCGCGGUAAUACGGAGGGUGCAAGCGUUAAUCGGAAUUACUGGGCGUAAAGCGCACGCAGGCGGUUUGUUAAGUCAGNUGUGAAAUCCCCGGGCUCAACCUGGGAACUGCAUUUGAAACUGGCAAGCUAGAGUCUCGUAGAGGGGGGUAGAAUUCCAGGUGUAGCGGUGAAAUGCGUAGAGAUCUGGAGGAAUACCGGUGGCGAAGGCGGCCCCCUGGACGAAGACUGACGCUCAGGUGCGAAAGCGUGGGGCAGCAAACAGGAUUAGAUACCCUGGUAGUCCACGCUGUAAACGAUGUCGAUUUUGGAGGUUGUGCCCUUGAGGCGUGGCUUCCGGAGCUAACGCGUUAAAUCGACCGCCUGGGGAGUACGGCCGCAAGGUU